Molecule: ribosomal RNA, 433 nt
Filed under: uncultured bacterium
Lineage: Bacteria
Description: partial 16S ribosomal RNA
Rfam family: Bacterial small subunit ribosomal RNA
Source: RNAcentral
AACGAACGCUGGCGGCAUGCCUAACACAUGCAAGUCGAACGAGACCUUCGGGUCUAGUGGCGCACGGGUGCGUAACGCGUGGGAACCUGCCCUUAGGUUCGGAAUAACUCCCCGAAAGGGGUGCUAAUACCGGAUAAUGUCUUCGGACCAAAGAUUUAUCGCCUUUGGAUGGGCCCGCGUUGGAUUAGCUAGUUGGUAGGGUAAAAGCCUACCAAGGCGACGAUCCAUAGCUGGUCUGAGAGGAUGGGCAGCCACACUGGGGCUGAGACACGGCCCAGACUCCUACGGGAGGCAGCAGUGGGGAAUAUUGGACAAUGGGGGAAAGGCUGAUCCAGCAAUGCCGGGUGAGUGAUGAAGGCCGUAGGGUAGUAAAGCUCUUUUACCCGGGAUGAUAAUGACAGUACCGGGAGAAUAAGCUCCGGCUAACUCCGUG